Molecule: ribosomal RNA, 497 nt
Filed under: uncultured bacterium
Lineage: Bacteria
Description: partial 16S ribosomal RNA
Rfam family: Bacterial small subunit ribosomal RNA
Source: RNAcentral
GACGAACGCUGGCGGCGUGCCUAAUACAUGCAAGUUGAGCGCUGAAGGUUGGUACUUGUACCGACUGGAUGAGCAGCGAACGGGUGAGUAACGCGUGGGGAAUCUGCCUUUGAGCGGGGGACAACAUUUGGAAACGAAUGCUAAUACCGCAUAAAAACUUUAAACACAAGUUUUAAGUUUGAAAGAUGCAAUUGCAUCACUCAAAGAUGAUCCCGCGUUGUAUUAGCUAGUUGGUGAGGUAAAGGCUCACCAAGGCGAUGAUACAUAGCCGACCUGAGAGGGUGAUCGGCCACAUUGGGACUGAGACACGGCCCAAACUCCUACGGGAGGCAGCAGUAGGGAAUCUUCGGCAAUGGACGAAAGUCUGACCGAGCAACGCCGCGUGAGUGAAGAAGGUUUUCGGAUCGUAAAACUCUGUUGGUAGAGAAGAACGUUGGUGAGAGUGGAAAGCUCAUCAAGUGACGGUAACUACCCAGAAAGGGACAGCUAACUACGUG